ACACAAAUGUUCCUUUUCUUUUCUUUCUUUCUUUUUUUUUUAAUGUUCGAAGCUAUCGACCUGGAGCUUCUAAUGUAAAAGAUCCUGGAGCUGGCAGAGUCAGCAAAAGACACCAGGGCAGGCACUGCAAACCCAGCGAACCCACAAAACGAACCGAAGAUGAUUCAAGAAAACACGUCAGAGAGGACAAAAGCUUCCCUGAGGUCUCCAGCUGCAGUGAACUAAAUUCUGCUGCGAGCUGAUUGAGUUUUUAAGAGGUCCCCAAGCAUCAGAGGAGACCACAGCUUCAGUUGACACUUUGCUCAUGGCCUGGGUGACCCAAGCAGAGGAUUCAGAUAUGCUGUGUCCAGACUCUUGACCCACAGAAACUGUGAGUAUAUUUCUAAGCUGCUGAGGUUAUGAUAGUCUGCAGCACANNN
RNAcentral lists this long non-coding RNA (419 nucleotides) under Mustela putorius furo (domestic ferret). Its description in RNAcentral is "lncRNA (ENSMPUG00000030958.1)". The record is from RNAcentral. Lineage: Eukaryota; Metazoa; Chordata; Mammalia; Carnivora; Mustelidae.